Non-coding RNA from Triticum aestivum (bread wheat), 134 nucleotides. NCBI's taxonomy places the organism in Eukaryota, Viridiplantae, Streptophyta, Magnoliopsida, Poales, Poaceae. The record is from Rfam.
AAAGUACUCCCCCGUCCCAAAAUUCUUGUCUUAGCUUUGUCUAGAUACGGAUGUAUCAAGUCACAUUUUAGUAUUAGAUACAUCCGUAUCUAGACAAAUCUAAGACAAGAAAUUUGGGACAGAGGGAGUAGUUG